GUGCUUGCUUCAGCAACAUAUACACUAAAAUUGGAACAAUACAGAGAUUAGCAGGAUGACACAUAAAUUCAUGAAAUGUUCCAUAUUUAU
RNAcentral lists this small nuclear RNA (90 nucleotides) under Sus scrofa (pig). The record is from RNAcentral. Lineage: Eukaryota; Metazoa; Chordata; Mammalia; Artiodactyla; Suidae.